This is a long non-coding RNA of Passer domesticus (house sparrow), 996 nucleotides long. RefSeq lists it as uncharacterized. The transcript has 3 exons. Lineage: Eukaryota; Metazoa; Chordata; Aves; Passeriformes; Passeridae. The record is from RefSeq and is a predicted model, not a curated record.
GAGAGUCUUCCAGGUGCUCUCAGGGAAACCAUGCUUAUCAUAAAAAGGUGCUUCUGCCUUCCAAGCAAUGGCUUCUUUUCAAAACUGCAGACCCUAUCAACUCACACAGAAAAUGAGAAGAAUGUAACAAUCAUCAAAAAUUUUAGGAUACAUCACUGAAUGAUAAAGCACAGCAAAGCUCUGGCUUUCCAGUGAGCUGAAGUCUCACCCCAUUCUAUCUCCGCCUCUGUGUACAACAUACAACAGAAAUGCUGGUGAAGUUUUGUCUUUACUUACAUUUUUGGCAAGUCACUUUGCCUAUUGCUCAAUGACCAUUCCGUUAACAGGAAUGGUCAGUAAUUCCAGGCACAUCCCAGUAAUCCAGUAGAAUCUCCUCACCUCGCAGAUGGGCAUGUCAUAACAGGAUUUGUCUCCACCCACAUUACUCCAGCAAUUAAUUUUACACCUAAGCCACUUGGCAAAGAACAUCUUGUUCCCAGCCCUGCUGAGACUCAUCUCCAGAAAAUUUAAAUCAAUUUGAUGUGUCACCUGGAGUAAAGUCAGAAAUCUCAAAUCAUGACACGUGGCAAAGCACCUCCAACACUGCUGGGAGCACCCGUUCUCACAUGACAAAUCUGCAUAAGAGGCUUUGAAGGAGAGCAAACGUGUCUAAAUCAAGGAAAUCACAGCUCCUGACCUCAAAGAAGGUGCACAGCUCCAUAAAAUUAAUAAUCCCUACUGAUAUCCUCUGCUCUCUGGGCCUCCUGAAAACAUCUGUGGGCUCCAGGGUUAAUUUCUCACUCAAGUCCAAGGGCAGAGCAAGCUCCAAGCAAGAGAAGAAACUCAGCCUGUGUGAAACAGAAAGUUUGGAGUGGCCAGGCUCUUAAAAAAGGCAUGGUCUUAGCAUGGCUAACAGGAAACCUGCAUAGUGGAAUAAAUCACAAGAAGCUCCACUUUCUUCAUGCAGGAAAAAGCUUCUUCUUUAUUCACAUAACCCAUUUUUAUACAGUUUUACAG